CAGGGAAUAUUAGUAAUGGGCGAAAGCCUGAACUAGCAACGCCGCGUGUGCGAAGAAGGCCUUCGGGUUGUAAAGCACUUUUUGAGAGGAUGAGGAAGGACGGUACUCUCAGAAUAAGUCUCGGCUAACUACGUGCCAGCAGCUGCGGUAACACGUGGGAGGCGAACGUUAUCCGGAUUUACUGGGCGUAAAGCGCGUGUAGGUGGUUUGGUAAGUAGGGCGUGAAAGCUCCUGGCUCAACUGGGAGAGGCCGUUCUAAACUGCCGAACUAGAGGAUGGUAGAGGGAGGUGGAAUUCCGGGUGUAGCGGUGGAAUGCGCAGAUAUCCGGAGGAACACCAGUGGCGAAAGCGGCCUCCUGGACCAUUCCUGACACUCAGACGCGAAAGCUAGGGUAGCAAACGG
Molecule: ribosomal RNA, 403 nt
Filed under: uncultured bacterium
Lineage: Bacteria
Description: bacterial SSU rRNA
Rfam family: Bacterial small subunit ribosomal RNA
Source: RNAcentral